Molecule: ribosomal RNA, 314 nt
Filed under: uncultured soil bacterium
Lineage: Bacteria
Description: bacterial SSU rRNA
Rfam family: Bacterial small subunit ribosomal RNA
Source: RNAcentral
GGAACGAACGCUGGCGGCAUGCCUAAUACAUGCAAGUCGAACGAACUCUUCGGAGUUAGUGGCGCACGGGUGCGUAACGCGUGGGAAUCUGCCCCUUGGUUCGGAAUAACAGUUGGAAACGACUGCUAAUACCGGAUGAUGACGAAAGUCCAAAGAUUUAUCGCCAAGGGAUGAGCCCGCGUAGGAUUAGCUAGUUGGUGAGGUAAAGGCUCACCAAGGCAACGAUCCUUAGCUGGUCUGAGAGGAUGAUCAGCCACACUGGGACUGAGACACGGCCCAGACUCCGUACGGGAGGCAGCAGUAGGGAUAUUGGA